AUUACUAACUUUACCGAACUAUAGUGGAAAUAGUAGGACCCACAAUCUUCUCUCUCAUAUUUUCUUCAUUUUGAAAUCACCUUUUCAAUUUUUUUAAGAAAUUGGUUUUACAGAUUUGUUUCUUUCCAAUUUCUCCCUCAAAUAAAUCAUAAUAUUUUUAUUCAUGCAUUAUCAUUGUCAUUCUCUAUCAUCUCAUGAUCCAACUCAAUCUAAAGAAUUUAGAAUAGUAAAAUGAGAUCUUGUCUCACGGUGCAGUCAUCGCUGACUCCACGAGACUUUCAGUGUCCAUAUGUACGCUAACGCUUUGCAUUGUCCAGCUGUACACCUAUACGCAUGGAUGCUGUUUUGUUUUAAUUUUCUUAAGUAUGUUUUCACAUUAGUUUCAUCAUAGAUGGUCAAACUAUCUUCUUCAUGUACAUAACUCUUUCGCUUCCAGCUAUCUUCUCAGUGGUGGGUUUUAUGUCUUGGUUGUUCAUGCACCCCAUUUUUAUUUUUCCAACCGGUCUUCCAUGUAUGUAUAAGUCCAAUGUACACGUGAACAAUGCAUUUUAUGUACACACUUGAGAAUACAUACAAGUCUGAUUUCGUGUACAAUGCGCUUUAUGUACACACUGGAGAAUACAUACAAGUCUGAUUUCAAUAGAGAUAGCUGAGACAGAAACUCAUUGAUAUCUCAUGUUUUUGGAAUGUUCGCUUGGGUUUAGUUGUACAUUUUAAAAGUACAGGGGUCAAAUCGUGAAACUCUGAAAAUAGAAGGGUCAAACGUGCAAAAAGCUGAGAUCUGGCCAUGGAUACCGUCGAGCUUCUUCUGCGAUUUGAUUCCGACGACGGCGAGCUGGCAAUGGAGGAGAGGACUUGUACGGUGGUUCGCAGUGGUUCGCGGAGGUUCAUGACUGAGGGAGACGACGAUUGGAGCCGCGGCGGAUGAACGGAACUGGAUCUUCUUCACGGAGGAGCUCGGCCACGAGGAAGCUUGGUUGUAGCUGCGAAGGAGAAGACGAGAUGACUCGGAGCAAUCACGGCGUGGAACGAGCCAGGACCAGGUGGUGUCGUAGGUUGAGCAGUUACACCCGUGAGGUGAAAUAUAGUUAGCAAAAAAGUAAAAUAAAUAAUGGUGAAACAGAUAGAAUUGGUGGUGGAUCAUUAAUGAUGAAGUAAAUAGAAUAGAUGGUGGGUUCUAUUAGUUGUAUUUAGUUAUGCUUUAGUCAAGGGAAAAAUGAAUUAGUUAACAAAAAGUGUCUAUGGAGAAGAAAGUGACUUAUUAUGAUAUAUAAAGUGAUAAAGUGACUGAGAAAGUAAA
This is a long non-coding RNA of Raphanus sativus (radish), 1300 nucleotides long. RefSeq lists it as uncharacterized. The transcript is spliced from 2 exons. The record is from RefSeq and is a predicted model, not a curated record. Lineage: Eukaryota; Viridiplantae; Streptophyta; Magnoliopsida; Brassicales; Brassicaceae.